Molecule: ribosomal RNA, 699 nt
Filed under: uncultured bacterium
Lineage: Bacteria
Description: bacterial SSU rRNA
Rfam family: Bacterial small subunit ribosomal RNA
Source: RNAcentral
AGAGUUUGAUCCUGGCUCAGAACGAACGCUGGCGGCAGGCCUAACACAUGCAAGUCGAGCGCUUUAACCACUUCGGUGGAGCGAGAGCGGCGGACGGGUGAGUAACGCGUGGGAAUAUGCCCUUCACUGCGGAAUAGCCUCGGGAAACUGAGAGUAAUACCGCAUACGCCCUUCGGGGGAAAGAUUUAUCGGUGAAGGAUUAGCCCGCGUUGGAUUAGGUAGUUGGUGGGGUAAAAGCCUACCAAGCCGACGAUCCAUAGCUGGUUUGAGAGGAUGAUCAGCCACACUGGGACUGAGACACGGCCCAGACUCCUACGGGAGGCAGCAGUGGGGAAUCUUAGACAAUGGGGGAAACCCUGAUCUAGCCAUGCCGCGUGAGUGACGAAGGCCUUAGGAUCGUAAAGCUCUUUCGCCAGGGAAGAUAAUGACGGUACCUGGUAAAGAAACCCCGGCUAACUCCGUGCCAGCAGCCGCGGUAAUACGGAGGGGGUUAGCGUUGUUCGGAAUUACUGGGCGUAAAGCGCGCGUAGGCGGACUAUUAAGUUAGUGGUGAAAUCCCAGGGCUCAACCCUGGAACUGCCUCUAAUACUGGUAGUCUUGAGUUCGAGAGAGGUGAGUGGAAUUCCGAGUGUAGAGGUGAAAUUCGUAGAUAUUCGGAGGAACACCAGUGGCGAAGGCGGCUCACUGGCUCGAUACUGA